AACGUAGGAGACAAACGUUAUCCGGAGUUACUGGGCGUAAAGGGCGUGUAGGUGGUUUCGUAAGUCUGGCGUGAAAUUUUUCGGCUUAACCGGGAAAGGUCGUCGGAUACUGCGGAACUAGAGGACGGUAGAGGCGUGGUGGAAUUCCGGGUGUAGUGGUGAAAUGCGUAGAGAUCCGGAGGAACACCAGGUGGCGAAGGCGACACGCUGGGCCGUACCUGACACUGAUGCGCGACAGCAUGGGGAGCAAACAGGG
Molecule: ribosomal RNA, 256 nt
Filed under: uncultured bacterium
Lineage: Bacteria
Description: partial 16S ribosomal RNA
Rfam family: Bacterial small subunit ribosomal RNA
Source: RNAcentral